GCCUAAUACAUGCAAGUCGAACGUCAUUGUGGUUGAAAUGAUAUGAAGAACUUGUUCAGAUUUGAUUUUCAACAUUGCAAUGAGUGGCGAACGGGUGAGUAACACGUGGAAACCUACCUCUUAGCAGGGGAUAACAUUUGGAAACAAAUGCUAAUACCGUAUAAUAAUUAAAACCGCAUGGUUUUAGUUUAAAGAUGGUCUUGCUAUCACUAAGAGAUGGUCCCGCGGUGUAUUAGUUAGUUGGUGAGGUAAUGGCUCGCCAAGACAAUGAUACAUAGCCGAGUUGAGAGACUGACCGGCCACAAUGGGACUGAGACACGGCCCAUACUCCUACGGGAGGCAGCAGUAGGGAAUCUUCCACAAUGGACGAAAGUCUGAUGGAGCAACGCCGCGUGUGUGAUGAAGGGUUUCGGCUCGUAAAACACUGUUGUAAGAGAAGAAUGACAUUGAGAGUAACUGUUCAAUGUGUGACGGUAUCUUACCAGAAAGGAACGGCUAAAUACGUG
RNAcentral lists this ribosomal RNA (506 nucleotides) under uncultured bacterium. RNAcentral describes it as "bacterial SSU rRNA". It matches the Rfam family "Bacterial small subunit ribosomal RNA", at positions 46 to 507 of the family's 1533-position model. The record is from RNAcentral.